This 249-nucleotide long non-coding RNA is filed under the name Lathyrus oleraceus (garden pea). RNAcentral describes it as "Pisum sativum (pea) long non-coding RNA (PSAT_LNC026030)". Lineage: Eukaryota; Viridiplantae; Streptophyta; Magnoliopsida; Fabales; Fabaceae. The record is from RNAcentral.
UUUUCCUCUACGAUGUAGCGGGGUAUUCGUUACCUUAUGGUUUAUUGGCUAAACCAAAAGUCAACAUACAAUUCGAGUCACCACCGCAGUUUUAUUUGUCCAAAGGAAAGGCUAAAAAGCGAACAAAAUCCAAGUAAGAAGUUUUAUCCAAUCAAAAACUAAUAAAAAUGUUAGAGAUCCGGGUAAGGGGGUUGGUUAUGAAAUGGGAAGGUUUUACGCACCCAAAACAUCCUUAGUACUCUAAGGGAG